This 484-nucleotide ribosomal RNA is filed under the name uncultured bacterium. RNAcentral's name for it is "partial 16S ribosomal RNA". It matches the Rfam family "Bacterial small subunit ribosomal RNA", at positions 28 to 523 of the family's 1533-position model. The record is from RNAcentral.
GACGAACGCUGGCGGCGUGCUUAACACAUGCAAGUCGAACGAUGAAGCCGGAGCUUGCUCUGGUGAAUUAGUGGCGAACGGGUGAGUAACACGUGAGUAACCUGCCCUUGACUCUGGGAUAACUGCUAGAAAUGGUAGCUAAUACCGGAUACGACCCUCGGCGGCAUCGCCAGGGGGUGGGAAGAAUUUCGGUCAAGGAUGGACUCGCGGCCUAUCAGCUAGUUGGUGAGGUAACGGCUCACCAAGGCGACGACGGGUAGCCGGCCUGAGAGGGUGACCGGGCACACUGGGACUGAGACACGGCCCAGACUCCUACGGGAGGCAGCAGUGGGGAAUAUUGCACAAUGGGCGCAAGCCUGAUGCAGCAACGCCGCGUGAGGGAUGACGGCCUUCGGGUUGUAAACCUCUUUUAGUAGGGAAGAAGCGAAAGUGACGGUACCUGCAGAAAAAGCACCGGCUAACUACGUGCCAGCAGCCGCUGUAA